UCCUCUGUAGUUCAGUCGGUAGAACGGCGGACUGUUAAUUCGUAUGUCACUGGUUCGAGUCCAGUCAGAGGAGCCA
This 76-nucleotide transfer RNA is filed under the name Escherichia coli. RNAcentral's name for it is "tRNA-Asn". It matches the Rfam family "tRNA". From Rfam's summary of the family: Transfer RNA (tRNA) molecules are approximately 80 nucleotides in length. Their secondary structure includes four short double-helical elements and three loops (D, anti-codon, and T loops). Further hydrogen bonds mediate the characteristic L-shaped molecular structure. tRNAs have two regions of fundamental functional importance: the anti-codon, which is responsible for specific mRNA codon recognition, and the 3' end, to which the tRNAs corresponding amino acid is attached (by aminoacyl-tRNA synthetases). tRNAs cope with the degeneracy of the genetic code in two manners: having more than one tRNA (with a specific anti-codon) for a particular amino acid; and 'wobble' base-pairing, i.e. permitting non-standard base-pairing at the 3rd anti-codon position. The record is from RNAcentral. RNAcentral also lists the same sequence under 10 other names. Lineage: Bacteria; Pseudomonadati; Pseudomonadota; Gammaproteobacteria; Enterobacterales; Enterobacteriaceae.